This 253-nucleotide ribosomal RNA is filed under the name uncultured bacterium. RNAcentral describes it as "partial 16S ribosomal RNA". It matches the Rfam family "Bacterial small subunit ribosomal RNA", at positions 524 to 776 of the family's 1533-position model. The record is from RNAcentral.
UACGUAGGGGGCAAGCGUUGUCCGGAUUUAUUGGGCGUAAAGAGCGUGUAGGCGGCUUUACAGGUCCGUUGUGAAAACUCGAGGCUCAACCUCGAGACGCCGGUGGAAACCGUAAAGCUAGAGUCCGGAAGAGGAGAGUGGAAUUCCUGGUGUAGCGGUGAAAUGCGCAGAUAUCAGGAGGAACACCAGCGGCGAAGGCGGCGCUCUGGGCCGGUACUGACGCUGAGGAGCGAAAGCGUGGGUAGCAAACAGG